GGAAACAGAAUGCCAGAAAUCCCCGCACACAGUGGCAUCACCAGCUGUCCGCUGUGGGCCAUGGCGAUGAGGUGCAAUGGCAGUACAUGCCUGGGAGCUCCUGUGGCUGCUGUGCUCAACAGCUGUGGCAGCAGGGGUGAUUCUAAAGACCAGGGUGCUGGUUGGAUUCUUGGGAGUACCCUCGAGUUCUUACAGGUAGAGGUGACAAGCUGGGGUAUGUUAAGUCAUGGUCUGAGAACUAGAGCACUUCUACAAUCGCCACCAAAAUUUCUUACUCAUGUGGUUGGACCCAGAGUAAAUAGACUUCAAGCCCCCAACUCACUCUGAAACUCCCUUGCCAGUGCCAAGGAGCUGUCCAGCCCUCCUGUGCUUGGAAACCUAUGAUGACUUCACUUAGAAAGGAGCACACAUUCAUCAUAAGACUUACAGGGUCCCCCUGCUGCCACUAGACCCAUAAAUACCUAGAGUCAAUCUUGCUCCAGGGAGACAUGUGCCCACUCCCACCUAAGAGGGAGCAGGUCACACUAAAAGAACAAGACUACAUGGUGGCACAGAGCUGUAUUCCCAGCUACUUGGGAGGUGGAAGCAGGAAGAUCAUGAGUUCCAGGCCAGCCCGGACAAAGGGUCUGUCUCAAAAACAAUAUUCAAAACACAAAAGAUCCCAGCGCGCAGGAGAAUAGCAAGCUCAAGGACAGUAUGAACUAAAAAGCAAAAAUCUGUGUCAAAAAUAAAAGACUUUGCAUACAGAUAGAUGAUUGAUACAUUUAGAUAUAGAUAUGAUGUAUGUAUACAUAGCCAGAAACCUGGGAAGUAUGUGGAUUGUAAGGGUGUCACAUCAACGAGGGCAGAUACAACACUAGCUCUGGCCGAAGUUGCUGGAUGGGUGCAUUACUAGUGAUUCCAGAUUUCGUGGGUUACCUUGUGCAGCUGGGGGUGAUUCUAACAGUUACUUAAUUGGCUGACUGGAACAUGAAUUGCCCUGGCAUGAUAUGGAUGCGGCAAAUGCAAAGACUUAAUUAGGGAGACAGAAACAUUAGUGAUCGCAUGUGACCUGGUUUGUCUCCCCCAACUACAGUCCACAAGAAGAAACCUCACAUUAGCCAAUUCCUCAUUAUCAGUCCCAUAACAUAAUCACUCUGUAUUGAAUUUUCCCUGUUCCAACUGCUAGGUGGCUCCUCUUCUCCUGACUGGACCCAGAACAGUGCACACAGCAACCAGCAUGUGCCCUGGGGGACUUCGCAAGGUCCCAGGAGGGAAACACCACCCUGGCCCAGAGCCUCUGAACCCUGGAGCCUUGACCUCCUCUCUCCUGGUCCUUGGCUGUUCCCACGGGCUCCAUUAUUCAAACUUGGUGGGUGUAGGAAACCAGGGCUGGACAGAUAAACUGCUGGUGCUGACAGACUGAGUUCCUGGGAUGAUCUUUGGACAGUCUCUCCAAACCAGACCCCUGGGUGGCCCUCCUGAGUCUUGCAGGGACCCCGUGUGUUGCUGUGGCCAAUCCUGCAAAUUUCCCGCUGUCUCACCAGAAAACCAGCCCUAACAAGCCCG
This is a non-coding RNA of Castor canadensis (American beaver), 1548 nucleotides long. Lineage: Eukaryota; Metazoa; Chordata; Mammalia; Rodentia; Castoridae. The record is from RefSeq and is a predicted model, not a curated record.